Molecule: ribosomal RNA, 244 nt
Filed under: uncultured bacterium
Lineage: Bacteria
Description: partial 16S ribosomal RNA
Rfam family: Bacterial small subunit ribosomal RNA
Source: RNAcentral
CUGGCGACCGGCGCACGGGUGAGUAACACGUAUCCAACCUGCCUCAUACUCGGGGAUAGCCUUUCGAAAGAAAGAUUAAUAUCCGAUAGCAUAUAUUUCCCGCAUGGGUUUUAUAUUAAAGAAAUUCGGUAUGAGAUGGGGAUGCGUUCCAUUAGUUUGUUGGGGGGUAACGGCCCACCAAGACUACGAUGGAUAGGGGUUCUGAGAGGAAGGUCCCCCACAUUGGAACUGAGACACGGUCCAA